Molecule: ribosomal RNA, 447 nt
Filed under: uncultured bacterium
Lineage: Bacteria
Description: partial 16S ribosomal RNA
Rfam family: Bacterial small subunit ribosomal RNA
Source: RNAcentral
UACCAGACUCCUACGGGAGGCAGCAGUGGGGGAUAUUGCACAAUGGGGGGAACCCUGAUGCAGCGACGCCGCGUGAGUGAAGAAGUAUCUCGGUAUGUAAAGCUCUAUCGGCAGGGAAGAAAAAUGACAGAACCUGACUAAGAAGCCCCGGCUAACUACGUGCCAGCAGCCGCGGUAAAACGUAGGGGGCAAGCGUUAUCCGGAUUUACUGGGUGUAAAGGGAGCGUAGGCGGCCAUGCAAGUCAGAAGUGAAAACCCGGGGCUCAACCCUGGGAGUGCUUUUGAAACUGUGCGGCUAGAGUGUCGGAGGGGUAAGUGGAAUUCCUAGUGUAGCGGUGAAAUGCGUAGAUAUUAGGAGGAACACCAGUGGCGAAGGCGGCUUACUGGACGAUGACUGACGCUGAGGCUCGAAAGCGUGGGGAGCAAACAGGAUUAGAUCCCCCCGUA